GCUUGAACAACGAGAAGGAUGUAGUCACCACUGACCAAGGUGGGCAGACACUAACAGGAGCCUGUUUGAAGAGGGAGAAGGUUGAGCUUCAGGCCUGUUGAAUUUGCGAUGCCUGUUGGGCAUCCAGGUGGAACCGCCAGGUCGAUGGAGUUGAAUCUCCCCAUUUCCUAGAUGAAGUAACUGAGUCCAGCGUGGGUGGCGUGCCUGAGCCCACACACCUAGUGGCAGGGCUGGAAUUGGCAUCAGGGUGCCCCCGUGGGUGGCCACAUCCUCAGUUACCUCCUGGAAAAGUCACGAGUGGUGCACCAGAAUCAUGGGGAACGGAACUUCCACAUCUUCUACCAGCUGCUGGAGGGGGGCGAGGAGGAGACUCUUCGCAGGCUGGGCUUGGAACGGAACCCCCAGAGCUACCUGUACCUGGUGAAGGUGAGUGGCUGGCAAGGAGGGCAGGUGCCACCCAGGGAUCCGGUGCCAGGGCUGGCAACCCAGCUGUGCCCUUCCUCCAGGGCCAGUGUGCCAAAGUCUCCUCCAUCAACGACAAGAGUGACUGGAAGGUCGUCAGGAAGGCUCUGACAGUCAUUGAUUUCACCGAGGAUGAAGUGGAGGACCUGCUGAGCAUCGUGGC
RNAcentral lists this small RNA (625 nucleotides) under Pan troglodytes (chimpanzee). Its description in RNAcentral is "processed transcript". The record is from RNAcentral. Lineage: Eukaryota; Metazoa; Chordata; Mammalia; Primates; Hominidae.